UACGGAGGGUGCAAACGUUGCUCGGAAUCAUUGGGCGUAAAGCGCACGUAGGCGGUCUUGAAAGUCGGGCGUGAAAUCCCUCGGCUUAACCAAGGAAGUGCACUCGAAACUUCAAGACUUGAAUACUGGAGAGAGUCGCAGAAUUCUCGGUGUAGAGGUGAAAUUCGUAGAUAUCGGGAGGAAUACCAGUGGCGAAGGCGGCGACCUGGUCAGAUAUUGACGCUGAGGUGCGAAAGCGUGGGGAGCAAACAGG
RNAcentral lists this ribosomal RNA (253 nucleotides) under uncultured bacterium. RNAcentral describes it as "partial 16S ribosomal RNA". It matches the Rfam family "Bacterial small subunit ribosomal RNA", at positions 524 to 776 of the family's 1533-position model. The record is from RNAcentral.